RNAcentral lists this ribosomal RNA (274 nucleotides) under uncultured bacterium. RNAcentral's name for it is "partial 16S ribosomal RNA". It matches the Rfam family "Bacterial small subunit ribosomal RNA", at positions 523 to 796 of the family's 1533-position model. The record is from RNAcentral.
AUACGGAGGGUCCGAGCGUUAAUCGGAAUUACUGGGCAUAAAGCGCGCGUAGGCGGAUAUUUAAGUCAGAUGUGAAAUCCCUGGGCUCAACCUAGGAACUGCAUUUGAAACUGGAUAUCUAGAGUAUGAUAGAGGUGAGUGGAAUUUCAGGUGUAGCGGUGAAAUGCGUAGAGAUCUGAAGGAACAUCAGUGGCGAAGGCGACUCACUGGGCCAUUACUGACGCUGAGGUGCGAAAGCGUGGGUAGCAAACAGGAUUAGAUACCCUAGUAGUCC